Pan troglodytes (chimpanzee) is the source of this 3380-nucleotide long non-coding RNA. RefSeq lists it as uncharacterized. The transcript is spliced from 4 exons. The record is from RefSeq and is a predicted model, not a curated record. NCBI's taxonomy places the organism in Eukaryota, Metazoa, Chordata, Mammalia, Primates, Hominidae.
AAGAAAGUAUUUGUCUUUCUGGCUUUUAUGAAGUAAGCAACCAUGUUGAGGCAGUCCAUCUGACAAGGUACUGCAGGUGGCUUCUAGAAGCUGUGAGCAGUCUCCAGCUGAUGGCCAGAAAAAAAUGUUGGGGUCUUCAGUCACACAUCCUUAAGGAAAUGAAUUCUGGCACAAACAUGAGAGAGCUUUGAAGCAGAUUCUGAUCCAGUUGAGUUUCCAGGUGAAAAUGGAGUCUAGACAAAACCUUUAUCUCAGCCUUGUGAGAUUCUGAACAGAGGGCCCAGGUACCAUGUGAAGGCCUGGGCAUAUAACAUGAAACAAGAAAGAUAAGGCCCUUGCUUACAUAGAACUUGGUGAAGAAUCUAGACCAUAACAAGCACACAGAGAAAACAUAUCACAAAUUGUGCUAAAGUUCUGUAAAGGGAUUAAGAUGGAGUGUCACAAGACUGAAUUAGACAGAGUGCCCUUGAAAGAGAAUACUGAGUAUGUUCCUGUGUCACCUUAUUUGCCAAUAGUGCCAAUUUUUAGAAUGGAGGGUGUAGAUCCAUCCUUUGCAACUGGUGAGGACCUCCUCAGUAAGGCACUGAGCCAGGAGUCUAUACAGCCAUGCCAACAGUUACUUGCAUUAUAAUACAGUAUGCCUCAGGGAAACUAAAAUAUUACAGAAAAACAGAAGAUUUUUAAGUACUAAAAAUCCAGGACCCCAUGGGACUUGGGAUAUGAAGAACACACGAUGAAUCUGAACAAGUCUAGAUGAAGUUUUCUCAGGUUUGGGGAAGAGAAGAAACAGUCAAAGGAGAAAGGAAGAUAUCUAAAAACCCAAUGCGUCCCUCAAGAGGGUCCUCAUACUUUGUAUACAACUUCAGAGUUCUAGACAACAAAAGAACAACCCAACCGAAAAAAGUGGGCAAAAGACUUGAAUAUUCUUUUCUCUACAGAAGAUCUAUAAAUGGUCAACAGAUACAUAAAAAAAUACUUAACAUCAUUAGUAAUCAAGAAAUACCACUUCAUACCCACUAGGCUGUCUAAAAUAAAAAAGACAGAAAAUAACAAAUGCUGGGAAAGUUGUGGAGAAAUUGAAACUCUUACAUGUAGCUGGUGAACUUUUAGAAUGGUGCAGCCAUUUUGGAAAGCAUUCUUGGUAGUACUUCAGAAUGUUAAAUAUAGAGUUACCACAUGACCUAGCAAUUCCACUCCUAAGACUAUACCCAAAGUAAAUGGAAAUUUAUAUGCAUCCAAAUCCUUGGACAUGAAAGAUCACAGUGGCAUGAUUCAUAAUGAGCAAAAGAUGGAAGAAAUUAAAAGUGCUCACCAACUGAUGCAAUGAGUAAAUAAAAUAUGGUAUAUCCAUACAAUUCAAUAUUAUUUGGCAAUACAAAGAAAUAAAAUAGUGAUGCAUGUUACAAUAGGAUUGAACCUGGAAAAGUAUUAUGCUAGAAAAAAAUUUAAAAAGAAAAUUAGAAAUGAAGGAGAAAUAAAAAAGAAAAACACUUAAAAAAGUGUUAAUUCUAAGUGAAAGAGGCAAAUCACAAAACACCACAUAUAGUAUGAUUUCAUUUAUAUGAAUAAUACUGGCAAAUUUAUAGAGACAGAAAACAGACAACUGGAUGUUAGGGGCUGAAAGAGGGAGGAAUGUGGAGUUACUGCAAAAAGGUACAGAAUUUUUUUUUUUUUUUUGGAAAUGGUGAAAUCUUCUAAAAUUAUAGUUUUAACAACUUUGGGAAUAUGCUAAAGAGCACUGAAUUGUAUAUUUUAAAAGGAUGCAUUUUAUAUGAAUUAUAACUCAUAAACAACAGUCAACUAGAAUGAAUGCAAGAGUGUCUUGAAUCACUGAAUCUUGAAUCAUGGUCUAUUCUCUUAUGGGAGAAUUGUGAUAUGGUUUGGAUGUGUGUUUCGCCUCCACAUCUCAUGUUGAAAUAUGAUCCCCAAUGUUGGAGGUGGGGUCUGCUGGAAGGUGUUUGGGCCAUGGGGGUGGAUACAUCAUGAAUGGGUUGGUGCCUUCCCCAUAAUAAUGAGUUCUCACUCUAUUAGUUCAGGCAAGAGCUGGUCAUUUAAAGUAGCCUAGCAUCUCUGUUGUUCCCUCUCUCACCAGGUGAUAUGCCUGCUCCCCCUUCACCUUCUAUCAUGAUUGUAAACUUCGUGAGGACAUCACCAAAGGCUGACAUUGGCAACAUGCUUCCUGUACAAUCUGCAGAACAACGAUGGAACAAAAUAAACAUCUUUUCUUUAUAAAUUACCCGGCUUCAUGUAUUCCUUCAUAACAAUGCAAAGCAGCCUAAUACAAAUUGUCAGUGAGUAGGCAGAUUUUCAGAAUGUAUGGCUAAUUGGAAUUUCCAUGGUCCUAUAUGAGAAGAGAUUUGAAGUAAUUCCAUAGAAUGUUAUGAGCGCCCUGGGAGAAGAAAAAGGGUGAUUUUUCAGAAGGAAAAGAGUGUAAGAAAAACAUGAAAUUCAAUUUUCCAAUGACAGUUCUGAGAACACUUAAACAAGGAGGGAUGUGGGAAGUGAUUUUUAAGUCUGUAUCUAGAAAUAGGAAUUUCUAAAAUAACUGAAUCUUUUUCUGGAGAGAUUAAAAAAAAUACUAACAUUAUUCACCAAGCAAGUAAAAGCAACCAAACUAGCAUGUUCCUUAAUAUCUUUAAGUAUAAUUAAUUGAGUACUAGUAGAAUGCUAUCCCUUCUGACAUCCUCUGGACACUAGGAUGCCAGGAUCCAACGUAACCCUAGAAAACAUAGUGAUCAUCCCAAGAAAGAUUAUAUUUCUAAGGUAACCACUAUGGAUUCAAUGAAACCAAAAGGCAUACUUACACUUUUCCAAUAGGAAAACUAAACACACCACAAUAAUUAUAUGCAUAAUGAAAAUGAGGCUUAGGAGGUUACGGAAAGUGUGCCAAGACUGUAUACUAUUUAUUUAUUGACAAUUUAAGCAGUAGACUUUAAUUCAUUUUUUCUCUAGUAUUGGAGAUUUUCUAUGUCCAGAGACAGAAAAAUGACUCUGAUGAGGAGGAAGUGGUGUGGAAUAUGGCUAGGACAUGGCACCCCCACCAGCUAACCUGAGUCCAUUGAGAGCUCCCUCUGAGAAGGGGAAUUGUGACUGCAUCCAUGUCCACAUUUCCUGUGUAGCAUUGAUGAUAGUGUGUAGACAACAAAAAGCUUCUUGAAAGAAUCAGGGGUGACUCUAGUUCCAGUCUUAAGGGGAGUGCGAACUGUACCUUUAUCCAGCCUUAUCUACCCAUCCAUAAAAACUCUGGAUAUAUGAUACAUGUUUAUAUCUGUUCAUGUUGGAAUUGGAGUGGAGCUAAUGAUAUCUACAGAGUCAUAUACUGAUUGGUACGUAAGUAGUAGUAUUUUGGAGAAAUGAGCUCAGAAUAUAGUUUCAGAAUA